This 477-nucleotide long non-coding RNA is filed under the name Dasypus novemcinctus (nine-banded armadillo). RNAcentral's name for it is "lncRNA (ENSDNOG00000050862.1)". The record is from RNAcentral. Lineage: Eukaryota; Metazoa; Chordata; Mammalia; Cingulata; Dasypodidae.
CCUGUGCUCCAGAGAUCAAACUUCCCACACACAGUCCAGGAAGGAGGAGAAGGGAUGUGUGUGAGUGCGUGCGUGUGCGUGCGUGUGUGUGUGUGUGUGUGACAGAAGGAAAGGAGGUCAUCCGGAAGGGCUUGCAGAGGACAAGCCAGCUGGGUUCUUCUCUUCUCCCGCAGCAGCCCAGGCAUGGAGCCCACCCAGCAGACCAGAGCGGGCCCCCUCCUCCCCCAGCCCCGCCUCAGCCUCCCGGCCAGUCCCUCUCCAGGGUAUGUGUAUCCUGGAGCAGAUGUGGCUCAAGCAAAUGAGCACCUGCCUCCCACACGGGAGGUCCUGGGUUCAGUUUCCGGUGCCUCCUAAGGAAAACAGACCACAAGCAGACAACGAGCAAAAACAACAAGCAAACACACAAACACAAUAAAAACAACAAGCAGACAAGCAAAAAAUACUAAAAAAUAUUGAAUUGUAACCUAAAAAUGUGUG